AUUGAACGCUGGCGGCAGGCCUAACACAUGCAAGUCGAGCGGAUGAAGGGAGCUUGCUCCUGGAUUCAGCGGCGGACGGGUGAGUAAUGCCUAGGAAUCUGCCUGGUAGUGGGGGAUAACGUCCGGAAACGGGCGCUAAUACCGCAUACGUCCUGAGGGAGAAAGUGGGGGGUCUUCGGACCUCACGCUAUCAGAUGAGCCUAGGUCGGAUUAGCUAGUUGGUGGGGUAAAGGCCUACCAAGGCGACGAUCCGUAACUGGUCUGAGAGGAUGAUCAGUCACACUGGAACUGAGACACGGUCCAGACUCCUACGGGAGGCAGCAGUGGGGAAUAUUGGACAAUGGGCGAAAGCCUGAUCCAGCCAUGCCGCGUGUGUGAAGAAGGUCUUCGGAUUGUAAAGCACUUUAAGUUGGGAGGAAGGGUAGUAAGUUAAUACCUUGCUGUUUUGACGUUACCAACAGAAUAAGCACCGGCUAACUUCGUG
This 484-nucleotide ribosomal RNA is filed under the name uncultured bacterium. Its description in RNAcentral is "partial 16S ribosomal RNA". It matches the Rfam family "Bacterial small subunit ribosomal RNA", at positions 30 to 507 of the family's 1533-position model. The record is from RNAcentral.